This 357-nucleotide ribosomal RNA is filed under the name uncultured Pseudomonas sp. RNAcentral's name for it is "bacterial SSU rRNA". It matches the Rfam family "Bacterial small subunit ribosomal RNA", at positions 1026 to 1382 of the family's 1533-position model. Lineage: Bacteria; Pseudomonadati; Pseudomonadota; Gammaproteobacteria; Pseudomonadales; Pseudomonadaceae. The record is from RNAcentral.
UCUGGACGACAGGUGCUGCAUGGCUGUCGUCAGCUCGUGUCGUGAGAUCGUUGGGUUAAGUCCCGUAACGAGCGCAACCCUUGUCCUUAGUUACCAGCACGUUAUGGUGGGCACUCUAAGGAGACUGCCGGUGACAACCGGAGGAAGGUGGGGAUGACGUCAAGUCAUCAUGGCCCUUACGGCCUGGGCUACACACGUGCUACAAUGGUCGGUACAAAGGGUUGCCAAGCCGCGAGGUGGAGCUAAUCCCAUAAAACCGAUCGUAGUCCGGAUCGCAGUCUGCAACUCGACUGCGUGAAGUCGGAAUCGCUAGUAAUCGUGAAUCAGAAUGUCACGGUGAAUACGUUCCCGGGCCUU